Molecule: ribosomal RNA, 491 nt
Filed under: uncultured bacterium
Lineage: Bacteria
Description: partial 16S ribosomal RNA
Rfam family: Bacterial small subunit ribosomal RNA
Source: RNAcentral
GUGAACGCUGGCGGUAGGCCUAACACCUGCCAGUCGCACGGCAGCACAGUAAGAGCUUGCUCUUACGGGUGGCGAGUGGCGGACGGGUGCGGAAUACAUCGGAAUCUACUUUUUCGUGGAGGAUAACGUAGGGAAACUUACGCUAAUACCGCAUACGACCUACGGGUGAAAGCAGGGGAUCUUCGGACCUUGCGCGAUUGAAUGAGCCGAUGUCGGAUUAGCUAGUUGGCGGGGUAAAGGCCCACCAAGGCGACGAUCCGUAGCUGGUCUGAGAGGAUGAUCAGCCACACUGGAACUGAGACACGGUCCAGACUCCUACGGGAGGCAGCAGUGGGGAAUAUUGGACAAUGGGCGCAAGCCUGAUCCAGCCAUACCGCGUGGGUGAAGAAGGCCUUCGGGUUGUAAAGCCCUUUUGUUGGGAAAGAAAAGCAGCAGGUUAAUACCCCGCUGUUCUGACGGUACCCAAAGAAUAAGCACCGGCUAACUUCGUG